UGAGGAAUAUUGGACAAUGGGCGCAAGCCUGAUCCAGCCAUGCCGCGUGCAGGAUGACGGUCCUAUGGAUUGUAAACUGCUUUUAUACAGGAAGAAACACUACUUCGUGAAGUAGCUUGACGGUACUGUAAGAAUAAGGAUCGGCUAACUCCGUGCCAGCAGCCGCGGUAAUACGGAGGAUCCAAGCGUUAUCCGGAAUCAUUGGGUUUAAAGGUCCGUAGGCGGUCAGAUAAGUCAGUGGUGAAAGCCCAUCGCUCAACGGUGGAACGGCCAUUGAUACUGUCUGACUUGAAUUAUUAGGAAGUAACUAGAAUAUGUAGUGUAGCGGUGAAAUGCUUAGAGAUUACAUGGAAUACCAAUUGCGAAGGCAGGUUACUACUAAUGGAUUGACGCUGAUGGACGAAAGCGUGGGUAGCGAACAGGAUUAGAUACCCUGGUAGUCCACGCCGUAAACGAUGGAUACUAGCUGUUGGAGCAA
This 478-nucleotide ribosomal RNA is filed under the name uncultured Bacteroidota bacterium. Its description in RNAcentral is "bacterial SSU rRNA". It matches the Rfam family "Bacterial small subunit ribosomal RNA", at positions 355 to 831 of the family's 1533-position model. The record is from RNAcentral. Lineage: Bacteria; Pseudomonadati; Bacteroidota.